This 475-nucleotide ribosomal RNA is filed under the name uncultured bacterium. Its description in RNAcentral is "partial 16S ribosomal RNA". It matches the Rfam family "Bacterial small subunit ribosomal RNA", at positions 28 to 523 of the family's 1533-position model. The record is from RNAcentral.
GAUGAACGCUGGCGGCGUGCUUAACACAUGCAAGUCGAGCGAGUGAGUUCUUCGGAACGAUCUAGCGGCGGACGGGUGAGUAACACGUGGGCAACCUGCCUCAUAGAGGGGAAUAGCCUCCCGAAAGGGAGAUUAAUACCGCAUAAAAUUAUCGAGUGGCAUCACAUGAUAAUCAAAGGAGUAAUCCGCUAUGAGAUGGGCCCGCGGCGCAUUAGCUAGUUGGUGAGGUAACGGCUCACCAAGGCGACGAUGCGUAGCCGACCUGAGAGGGUGAUCGGCCACAUUGGGACUGAGACACGGCCCAGACUCCUACGGGAGGCAGCAGUGGGGAAUAUUGCACAAUGGGGAAACCCUGAUGCAGCAACGCCACGUGAGUGAUGAAGGUCUUCGGAUUGUAAAGCUCUGUCUUUGGGGACGAUAAUGACGGUACCCAAGGAGGAAGCCACGGCUAACUACGUGCCAGCAGCCGCAGUAA